RNAcentral lists this ribosomal RNA (490 nucleotides) under uncultured bacterium. Its description in RNAcentral is "partial 16S ribosomal RNA". It matches the Rfam family "Bacterial small subunit ribosomal RNA", at positions 30 to 507 of the family's 1533-position model. The record is from RNAcentral.
AUUGAACGCUGGCGGCAGGCCUAACACAUGCAAGUCGAACGGUAACAGGAAGAAGCUUGCUUCUUUGCUGACGAGUGGCGGACGGGUGAGUAAUGUCUGGGAAACUGCCUGAUGGAGGGGGAUAACUACUGGAAACGGUAGCUAAUACCGCAUAACGUCGCAAGACCAAAAAGGGGGACCUUCGGGCCUCUUGCCAUCGGAUGUGCCCAGAUGGGAUUAGCUAGUAGGUGGGGUAACGGCUCACCUAGGCGACGAUCCCUAGCUGGUCUGAGAGGAUGACCAGCCACACUGGAACUGAGACACGGUCCAGACUCCUACGGGAGGCCGCAGUGGGGAAUAUUGCACAAUGGGCGCAAGCCUGAUGCAGCCAUGCCGCGUGUAUGAAGAAGGCCUUCGGGUUGUAAAGUACUUUCAGCGGGGAGGAAGGGAGUAAAGUUAAUACCUUUGCUCAUUGACGUUACCCGCAGAAGAAGCACCGGCUAACUCCGUG